UAGGGAAUCUUCGGCAAUGGACGGAAGUCUGACCGAGCAACGCCGCGUGAGUGAAGAAGGUUUUCGGAUCGUAAAGCCCUGUUGUAAGAGAAGAACGAGUGUGAGAGUGGAAAGUUCACACUGUGACGGUAUCUUACCAGAAAGGGACGGCUAACUACGUGCCAGCAGCCGCGGUAAUACGUAGGUCCCGAGCGUUGUCCGGAUUUAUUGGGCGUAAAGCGAGCGCAGGCGGUUAGAUAAGUCUGAAGUUAAAGGCUGUGGCUUAACCAUAGUAGGCUUUGGAAACUGUUUAACUUGAGUGCAAGAGGGGAGAGUGGAAUUCCAUGUGUAGCGGUGAAAUGCGUAGAUAUAUGGAGGAACACCGGUGGCGAAAGCGGCUCUCUGGCUUGUAACUGACGCUGAGGCUCGAAAGCGUGGGGAGCAAACAGGAUUAGAUACCCUGGUAGUCCACGCUGUAAACGAUGAGUGCUAGGUGUUAGACCCUUUCCGGGGUUUAGUGCCGUAGCUAACGCAUUAAGCACUCCGCCUGGGGAGUACGACCGCAAGGU
RNAcentral lists this ribosomal RNA (548 nucleotides) under uncultured bacterium. RNAcentral's name for it is "bacterial SSU rRNA". It matches the Rfam family "Bacterial small subunit ribosomal RNA", at positions 355 to 894 of the family's 1533-position model. The record is from RNAcentral.